UCGCUGUGAUGACGAUUACUUUAUCCAUUCGCAGUUUCCACCAGAGGUCUAAUGACCAAAGAUGGUUCAAAUCUUCCUUGGAUGUCUGAGCGA
This is a small nucleolar RNA of Cyprinodon tularosa, 93 nucleotides long. RefSeq annotates it as small nucleolar RNA SNORD14. The transcript has a single exon. NCBI's taxonomy places the organism in Eukaryota, Metazoa, Chordata, Actinopteri, Cyprinodontiformes, Cyprinodontidae. The record is from RefSeq and is a predicted model, not a curated record.